This 75-nucleotide transfer RNA is filed under the name Deltaproteobacteria bacterium. RNAcentral describes it as "tRNA-Val". It matches the Rfam family "tRNA". From Rfam's summary of the family: Transfer RNA (tRNA) molecules are approximately 80 nucleotides in length. Their secondary structure includes four short double-helical elements and three loops (D, anti-codon, and T loops). Lineage: Bacteria; Pseudomonadati; Myxococcota; Myxococcia. The record is from RNAcentral.
AGGCGCGUAGCUCAGGGGUAGAGCACUUCCUUGACACGGAAGGGGCCAGCAGUUCGAGACUGCUCGUGCCUACCA